UUAAGUUAGUAAGGGCGCACGGUGGAUGCCUUGGCACUAGGAGCCGAAGAAGGACGUGACAAACGACGAAAUGCCUCGGGGAGCUGUAAGUAAGCGACGAUCCGUGGAUGUCCGAAUGGGGGAACCCAACAGGUAGAUGCCUGUUACCCAUUUCUGUUAAGGGAAUGAGGAGGAAGACGCAGUGAACUGAAACAUCUAAGUAGCUGCAGGAAGAGAAAGCAAAAGCGAUUGCCUUAGUAGCGGCGAGCGAAGAGGCAGGAGGGCAAACCGAAGAGUUUACUCUUCGGGGUUGUAGGACUGCAAUGUGGACUCAGAGUUUAUAGAAGAAUGACUUGGGAAAGUCAGCCAAAGAGAGUAAGAGCCUCGUAUUUUAAAUAGACUCUGUACCUAGCAGUAUCCUGAGUACGGCGGGACACGAGAAAUCCCGUCGGAAUCUGGGAGGACCAUCUCCCAACCCUAAAUACUCCCUAGUGACCGAUAGUGAACCAGUACCGUGAGGGAAAGGUGAAAAGCACCCCGGGAGGGGAGUGAAAUAGAACCUGAAACCGUGUGCCUACAACAAGUUCGAGCCCGUUAAUGGGUGAGAGCGUGCCUUUUGUAGAAUGAACCGGCGAGUUACGUUAUGAUGCGAGGUUAAGUUGAAGAGACGGAGCCGUAGGGAAACCGAGUCUGAAUAGGGCGCAAUAGUAUCAUGACGUAGACCCGAAACCAUGUGACCUACCCAUGAGCAGGUUGAAGGUGCGGUAAAACGCACUGGAGGACCGAACCAGGGCACGUUGAAAAGUGCUUGGAUGACUUGUGGGUAGCGGAGAAAUUCCAAACGAACUUGGAGAUAGCUGGUUCUCUCCGAAAUAGCUUUAGGGCUAGCGUCGACAUAAAGAUUCUUGGAGGUAGAGCACUGUUUGGGUGAGGGGUCCAUCCCGGAUUACCAAUCUCAGAUAAACUCCGAAUGCCAAUGAAUUAUGGUCGGCAGUCAGACUGCGAGUGCUAAGAUCCGUAGUCGAAAGGGAAACAGCCCAGACCACCAGCUAAGGUCCAAAAUAAUUGUUAAGUGGAAAAGGAUGUGGGGUUGCACAGACAACUAGGAUGUUAGCUUAGAAGCAGCUAUUCAUUCAAAGAGUGCGUAAUAGCUACUAGUCGAGUGACCCUGCGCCGAAAAUGUACCGGGGCUAAACAAUUUACCGAAGCUGUGGAUCCCUUAGGGGAUGGUAGGAGAGCGUUCUAUGUGUGGAGAAGGUGUACCGUGAGGAGCGCUGGAACGCAUAGAAGUGAGAAUGCCGUAUGAGUAGCGAAAGACAGGUAGAAUCCUGUCCACCGUAAGACUAAGGUUUCCAGGGGAAGGGCUCGUCCGCCCUGGGUUAGUCGGGACCUAGGAGAGACCGAAGGGUGUAUCCGAUGGCCAACAGGUUGAUAUUCCUGUACUAGAGUAUGAAGUGAUGGAGGGACGCAGUAGGCUAACUAAAGCAGACGACUGGAAGAGUCUGUCUAAGCAGUGAGGCGUGGUAUGAGUCAAAUGCUUAUACCUAUAACGUUGAGCUGUGAUGGGGAGCGAAGUUUAGUAGCGAAGUUAGUGAUGUCACACUGCCAAGAAAAGCUUCUAGCGAUGUAUCAUACUCUACCCGUACCGCAAACCGACACAGGUAGUCGAGGCGAGUAGCCUCAGGUGAGCGAGAGAACUCUCGUUAAGGAACUCGGCAAAAUGACCCCGUAACUUCGGGAGAAGGGGUGCUGAUUUAGGUCAGCCGCAGUGAAUAGGCCCAAGCAACUGUUUAUCAAAAACACAGCUCUCUGCUAAAUCGUAAGAUGAUGUAUAGGGGGUGACGCCUGCCCGGUGCUGGAAGGUUAAGAGGAGUGCUUAGCGGUAACGCGAAGGUAUGAAUUGAAGCCCCAGUAAACGGCGGCCGUAACUAUAACGGUCCUAAGGUAGCGAAAUUCCUUGUCGGGUAAGUUCCGACCCGCACGAAAGGCGUAAUGAUUUGGGCACUGUCUCAACGAGAGACUCGGUGAAUUUUAGUACCUGUGAAGAUGCAGGUUACCCGCGACAGGACGGAAAGACCCCAUGGAGCUUUACUGCAGUUUGAUAUUGAGUGUCUGUGCCACAUGUACAGGAUAGGUAGGAGCCUAUGAGAUCGGGACGCCAGUUUCGAUGGAGGCGCUGUUGGGAUACUACCCUUGUGUUAUGGCCACUCUAACCCGGAUAGGUGAUCCCUAUCGGAGACAGUGUCUGACGGGCAGUUUGACUGGGGCGGUCGCCUCCUAAAAGGUAACGGAGGCGCCCAAAGGUUCCCUCAGACUGGUUGGAAAUCAGUCGCAGAGUGUAAAGGUAUAAGGGAGCUUGACUGCGAGAGCUACAACUCGAGCAGGGACGAAAGUCGGGCUUAGUGAUCCGGUGGUUCCGCAUGGAAGGGCCAUCGCUCAACGGAUAAAAGCUACCUGGGGAUAACAGGCUUAUCUCCCCAAGAGUUCACAUCGACGGGGAGGUUUGGCACCUCGAUGUCGGCUCGUCGCAUCCUGGGGCUGUAGUCGGUCCCAA
RNAcentral lists this ribosomal RNA (2533 nucleotides) under Streptococcus gordonii. RNAcentral describes it as "23S ribosomal RNA". It matches the Rfam family "Bacterial large subunit ribosomal RNA", at positions 3 to 2568 of the family's 2925-position model. The record is from RNAcentral. Lineage: Bacteria; Bacillati; Bacillota; Bacilli; Lactobacillales; Streptococcaceae.